Molecule: ribosomal RNA, 468 nt
Filed under: uncultured bacterium
Lineage: Bacteria
Description: partial 16S ribosomal RNA
Rfam family: Bacterial small subunit ribosomal RNA
Source: RNAcentral
GACGAACGCUGGCGGCGUGCUUAACACAUGCAAGUCGAACGGAAAGGCCCUGCUUUUGUGGGGUUCUCGAGUGCCGAACGGGUGAGUAACACGUGAGUAACCUGCCCUUGACUUUGGGAUAACUUCAGGAAACUGGGGCUAAUAUCGGAUAGGAGCUCCUGCUGCAUGGUGGUGGUUGGAAAGUUUCGGCGGUUGGGUAUGUACUCGCGGCUUAUCAGCUUGUUGGUGGGGUAGUGGCUUACCAAGGCUUUGACGGGUAGCCGGCCUGAGAGGGUGACCGGCCACAUUGGGACUGAGAUACGGCCCAGACUCCUACGGGAGGCAGCAGUGGGGAAUAUUGCACAAUGGGCGGAAGCCUGAUGCAGAAACGCCGCGUGCGGGAUGACGGCCUUCGGGUUGUAAACCGCUUUCGCCUGUGACGAAGCGUGAGUGACGGUAAUGGGUAAAGAAGCACCGGCUAACUACGUG